This 584-nucleotide ribosomal RNA is filed under the name Staphylococcus xylosus. RNAcentral's name for it is "partial 23S ribosomal RNA". It matches the Rfam family "Bacterial large subunit ribosomal RNA", at positions 566 to 1151 of the family's 2925-position model. Lineage: Bacteria; Bacillati; Bacillota; Bacilli; Caryophanales; Staphylococcaceae. The record is from RNAcentral.
ACAAGUAGUCAGAGCCCGUUAAUGGGUGAUGGCGUGCCUUUUGUAGAAUGAACCGGCGAGUUACGAUUUGAUGCAAGGUUAAGCAGUGAAUGUGGAGCCGUAGCGAAAGCGAGUCUGAAUAGGGCGUUGAGUAUUUGGUCGUAGACCCGAAACCAGGUGAUCUACCCAUGACCAGGUUGAAGUUCAGGUAACACUGAAUGGAGGACCGAACCGACUUACGUUGAAAAGUGAGCGGAUGAGUUGUGGGUAGCGGAGAAAUUCCAAUCGAACCUGGAGAUAGCUGGUUCUCUCCGAAAUAGCUUUAGGGCUAGCCUCAAGUGAUGAUUAUUGGAGGUAGAGCACUGUUUGGACGAGGGGCCCUUAUCGGGUUACCGAAUUCAGACAAACUCCGAAUGCCAAUCAAUUUAACUUGGGAGUUAGAACGCGGGUGAUAAGGUCCGUGUUCGAAAGGGAAACAGCCCAGACCACCAGCUAAGGUCCCAAAAUAUAUGUUAAGUGGAAAAGGAUGUGGCGUUGCCCAGACAACUAGGAUGUUGGCUUAGAAGCAGCCAUCAUUUAAAGAGUGCGUAAUAGCUCACUAGUCG